UGCUAUACAUGCAAGUCGAGCGAGCCGAACUAAUUGAUUACCUUCGGGUAUGAAGUUAGGGAAGCGAGCGGCGGAUGGGUGAGUAACACGUGGGUAACCUACCCUAUAGUCUGGGAUACCACUUGGAAACAGGUGCUAAUACCGGAUAAAAGGAGAGAUCACAUGAUUCCUUUUUGAAAGGCGGCGUAAGCUGUCGCUAAAGGAUAGACCCGCGGUGCAUUAGCUAGUUGGUAAGGUAACGGCUUACCAAGGCAACGAUGCAUAGCCGAGUUGAGAGACUGAUCGGCCACAUUGGGACUGAGACACGGCCCAAACUCCUACGGGAGGCAGCAGUAGGGAAUCUUCCACAAUGGACGCAAGUCUGAUGGAGCAACGCCGCGUGAGUGAAGAAGGUUUUCGGAUCGUAAAGCUCUGUUGUUGGUGAAGAAAGAUAGUGAGAGUAACUGCUCAUUAUUUGCCGGUAAUCAACCAGAAAGUCACGGCUAACUACGUGCCAGCAGCCGCGGUAAUACGUAGGUGGCAAGCGUUGUCCGGAUUUAUUGGGCGUAAAGCGAGCGCAGGCGGAAAGAUAAGUCAGAUGUGAAAGCCCUCGGCUUAACCGAGGAAUAGCAUCGGAAACUGUCUUUCUUGAGUGCAGAAGAGGAGAGUGGAACUCCAUGUGUAGCGGUGGAAUGCGUAGAUAUAUGGAAGAACACCAGUGGCGAAGGCGGCUCUCUGGUCUGUAACUGACGCUGAGGCUCG
This 741-nucleotide ribosomal RNA is filed under the name uncultured bacterium. Its description in RNAcentral is "bacterial SSU rRNA". It matches the Rfam family "Bacterial small subunit ribosomal RNA", at positions 45 to 755 of the family's 1533-position model. The record is from RNAcentral.